UUAGAGUUUGAUCCUGGCUCAGGAUGAACGCUAGAACAGGCUUAACACAUGCAAGUCGAGGGGAAACGAUAGAGAAAGCUUGCUUUUUCUAGGCGUCGACCGGCGCACGGGUGAGUAACGCGUAUCCAACCUGCCCACCACUUGGGAAUAACCUUGCGAAAGUAAGACUAAUACCCAAUGAUAUCUCUAGAAGACAUCUGAAAGAGAUUAAAGAUUUAUCGGUGAUGGAUGGGGAUGCGUCUGAUUAGCUUGUUGGCGGGGUAACGGCCCACCAAGGCGACGAUCAGUAGGGGUUCUGAGAGGAAGGUCCCCCACAUUGGAACUGAGACACGGUCCAAACUCCUACGGGAGGCAGCAGUGAGGAAUAUUGGUCAAUGGGCGAGAGCCUGAACCAGCCAAGUAGCGUGCAGGAUGACGGCCCUAUGGGUUGUAAACUGCUUUUAUAAGGGAAUAAAGUGAGCCUCGUGAGACUUUUUGCAUGUACCUUAUGAAUAAGGACCGGCUAAUUCCGUGCCAGCAGCCGCGGUAAUACGGAAGGUCCGGGCGUUAUCCGGAUUUAUUGGGUUUAAAGGGAGCGUAGGCCGGAGAUUAAGCGUGUUGUGAAAUGUAGACGCUCAACGUCUGCACUGCAGCGCGAACUGGUUUCCUUGAGUACGCACAAAGUGGGCGGAAUUCGAGGUGUAGCGGUGAAAUGCUUAGAUAUCACGAAGAACUCCGAUUGCGAAGGCAGCUCACUGGAGCGCAACUGACGCUGAAGCUCGAAAGUGCGGGUAUCGAACAGGAUUAGAUACCCUGGUAGUCCGCACGGUAAACGAUGGAUGCCCGCUGUUGGUCUGAAUAGGUCAGCGGCCAAGCGAAAGCAUUAAGCAUCCCACCUGGGGAGUACGCCGGCAACGGUG
Molecule: ribosomal RNA, 899 nt
Filed under: uncultured bacterium
Lineage: Bacteria
Description: bacterial SSU rRNA
Rfam family: Bacterial small subunit ribosomal RNA
Source: RNAcentral